AUUGAACGCUGGCGGCAGGCUUAACACAUGCAAGUCGAGCGGGGUGAUGGUGCUUGCACUAUCACUUAGCGGCGGACGGGUGAGUAAUGCUUAGGAAUCUGCCUAUUAGUGGGGGACAACAUCUCGAAAGGGAUGCUAAUACCGCAUACGUCCUACGGGAGAAAGCAGGGGAUCACUUGUGACCUUGCGCUAAUAGAUGAGCCUAAGUCGGAUUAUCUAGUUGGUGGGGUAAAGGCCUACCAAGGCGACGAUCUGUAGCGGGUCUGAGAGGAUGAUCCGCCACACUGGGACGGAGACACGGCCCAGAAUCCUACGGGAGGCAGCAGUGGGGAAUAUUGGACAAUGGGGGGAACCCUGAUCCAGCCAUGCCGCGUGUGUGAAGAAGGCCUUAUGGUUGUAAAGCACUUUAAGCGAGGAGGAGGCUCUUUUGGUUAAUACCCAAGAUGAGUGGACGUUACUCGCAGAAUAAGCACCGGCUAACUCUGUGCCAGCCGCCGCCGUAA
Molecule: ribosomal RNA, 503 nt
Filed under: uncultured bacterium
Lineage: Bacteria
Description: partial 16S ribosomal RNA
Rfam family: Bacterial small subunit ribosomal RNA
Source: RNAcentral